Myotis daubentonii (Daubenton's bat) is the source of this 406-nucleotide long non-coding RNA. RefSeq lists it as uncharacterized. The transcript is spliced from 2 exons. The record is from RefSeq and is a predicted model, not a curated record. NCBI's taxonomy places the organism in Eukaryota, Metazoa, Chordata, Mammalia, Chiroptera, Vespertilionidae.
CAGUUACCUACAAGGGAGUACCCAUAAGAUUGUCAGCUGAUUUCUCAACAGAAACUAUGCAGGCCAGAAGGGAGUGGCAAGAAAUAUUCAAAGUGAUGAAUAGCAAAAACCUACAACCAAGAUUACUUUACCCAGCAAAGCUAUCAUUCAGAAUUGAAGGUCAGAUAAAGAGCUUCACAGAUAAGAAAAAGCUAAAGGAGCCGGAACCGGUUUGGCUCAGUGGAUAGAGUGUCGGCCUGUGGACUGAGGGGUCCCAGGUUCGAUUCCGGUCAAGGGCAUGUACCUGGGUUGUGGGCACAUCCCCAGUAGGAGGUGUGCAGGAGGCAGCUGAUCGAUGUUUCUAACUCUCUAUCUCUCUCCCUUCCUCUCUGUAAAAAAUCAAUAAAAUAUAUUUAAAAAAAAAUAA